GUGGGGAAUCUUGCGCAAUGGGCGAAAGCCUGACGCAGCCAUGCCGCGUGAAUGAUGAAGGUCUUAGGAUUGUAAAAUUCUUUCACCGGGGACGAUAAUGACGGUACCCGGAGAAGAAGCUCCGGCUAACUUCGUGUCAGCAGCCGCGGUAAUACGAAGGGGGCUAGCGUUGCUCGGAAUUACUGGGCGUAAAGGGCGCGUAGGCGGACAGCUUAGUCAGAGGUGAAAGCCCAGGGCUCAACCUUGGAAUUGCCUUUGAUACUGGCUGUCUUGAGUUUGGGAGAGGUGAGUGGAACUCCGAGUGUAGAGGUGAAAUUCGUAGAUAUUCGGAAGAACACCAGUGGCGAAGGCGACUCACUGGCCCAAUACUGACGCUGAGGCGCGAAAGCGUGGGGAGCAAACAGGAUUAGAAACCCGAGUAGUCC
RNAcentral lists this ribosomal RNA (425 nucleotides) under uncultured bacterium. Its description in RNAcentral is "partial 16S ribosomal RNA". It matches the Rfam family "Bacterial small subunit ribosomal RNA", at positions 354 to 796 of the family's 1533-position model. The record is from RNAcentral.